This is an RNA transcript of Carcharodon carcharias (great white shark), 2074 nucleotides long. It is a transcript of the gene named transcriptional adaptor 1, with no coding region annotated. The transcript is spliced from 9 exons. NCBI's taxonomy places the organism in Eukaryota, Metazoa, Chordata, Chondrichthyes, Lamniformes, Lamnidae. The record is from RefSeq and is a predicted model, not a curated record.
AGGUCCUCCAGGCCGCCAGGGGGAGCCGGGCCUCCAGGCCGGUCGGUUGAGCGGUUUGGAAAAAACCCGUUCAAGCGGUGAGGAGAAUCCGCCCCUUGUUCAGUGAAAGUCCUUCCCGGCCAUGGCGACUCAUGUCAGCGAGCUGGAGGUCGCCAAAAAGACCUUGACGGAGGCGUUGGGGGAGAAUGUGAAGCAAUAUUGGGCAAACUUGAAGCUUUGGUUCAAGCAAAAGAUAAGCAAAGAGGAGUUCGAUGUGGAAGCGAGGAGGCUCCUUACUCAUGAUAAUGUGCAUUCCCAUAAUGACUUCUUGCUCGCCAUCCUCACCAGAUGUCAGAUCAUGGUUACUGCUCCAGAAAGUGGUACUUCGCUACUUUGGACCAGUCCAUCUGCUGCUAAAUCUGGUAAACCUAAAAGCAAAAAAAAGUUUCCAUCUCUACGAGCAAAAUUUGAACAUCGAUUUCAAGCACAGAAUCCUUUAUCGGGAGCACAACACUUUGUGGCAAAGGAUCCCCAAGAAGAGGAUGAUGUGAAAUUUUGCACUCAUACAAUGGUGCUUCCCACGAGAGGCCAGCUAGAAGGUCGGAUGAUAGUAACGGCUUAUGAAUGUGGACUGGACAAUGUAUCUGAAGAUGCAGUGACAGCAGUGGUGCAUGCAGUGGAGAAUCAUCUAAAGGACAUUCUGACAGCUGUGAUAUCCAGGAGGAGAUCAUACCGUUUACGUGAUGGCCAUUUUAAGUAUGCUUUUGGGAGUAGCAUUAACCCCCAGCCAUAUUUAAAAAACAGCAUUAUUGCCUACAACAACAUUAUUGACUGUCCUCCUACAGGGAUGCCAUUAACUGUUGGACCGAAUCCAGGUUCCCACCUCUCACCAGAUGAUGUAGAGCAACAGGCAGCUCUUCUCCUAGCCUGUUCUGGUGAAGAUAUGUUAGCUUCCUUACCACCUGUCAACAUGUAUGAUCUUCUUGGAGCCCUCCAGAUGAAGAAGAACUAAAGAUGGACCCGUCAAACAUACGAGAUGGGAACUUAUCGGUUUAACAACUGGGUCUGAAGGCACGCCAUAAAACUGUGUUUUGUUUAACUCUAUCAAAGGCAUGGAAGGAAUCAAAGUCAGAGAAAUUAAGCAGUGAAUUUAAACAGUAGGUACACAGGGAAGUGAUACCAGCCCACACAGUCUACGCCUUGAAUAUAGAAAGGAUAUUGGCUAGACUCUGGCAUCCUAGCCAUGAGGAGUUGGAGCAGGAUAAGAUCCACCGUCAGAGGCUGGCAGUCAAGGAGGGACUUGUUUGUUGACUGACUUUAGACCAAUUGUUAGAGUUCAGAGCAUGCUUUGGCUCCACUCCAUGUGAAUUCAAUGAUCACUGCAUUAAACCAGACACCAUCUCAACCUCAUUCUCAGUCUGUCAUCACUGGGUAGAGUUUGUUAUAGUGAUGAGCAUCAUUGGCAGUAUGUCAUGUCAGGUGUAAAUUGAAACAAUGGAAAUUAGAAUUUAACUUCAGCCUGACAAUUUGGAUAAAAUAUUCCUCAUGAAUCUCUUAAUGAGCAAGAUACAAACCUAUUUCUAAGAUGUCUACAUUGAAGUUACCUAGUGUGAUAUUCAUGUACAAACAUCCUGAAGUUCUACUAUUGCAACAUAUCUAAAAUAAACUGGUUAAUUCCUCUGAAUUUCAGAGAAAACAGGUUGAGCAAGGGUUUGCACUGAGUAUCCCACAGCAUAACUUAAAGGCCUGAUGGUUUGUCUAUUUUGUUUAAUACAUAUCUACUGAUGAGGCAAAUGAUAAACUAUGCUGGUUCAUUUCAGAUCCCUCUUUGCUUAAUAAACAUUUUAACUGAAUAUAGAUAUCUUUAUCAAUGUGCAAAAUGUUUAAAGGUUCAAGAUUAACAAUGCAAUGUAAUAGCACCAUGAAAUAAUUUUAUUUUUGUACAGUAAGAAAUUGUAACAAUUGAUCAAGUAGAAUGUAGGUGUCUUUUUUGUAUACACAAGUACUUUUUUUCAUUUUUUGUGUAUUUAUUUUAUUUUGUAGUUUACAUGCAAAACAGCAGUAUUGAUUUAUUAAAAUGUAAAUGUACAAAAAA